This 466-nucleotide ribosomal RNA is filed under the name uncultured bacterium. RNAcentral's name for it is "partial 16S ribosomal RNA". It matches the Rfam family "Bacterial small subunit ribosomal RNA", at positions 28 to 507 of the family's 1533-position model. The record is from RNAcentral.
GAUGAACGCUGGCGGCGUGCUUAACACAUGCAAGUCGAACGGAAAGGCCCAAGCUUGCUUGGGUACUCGAGUGGCGAACGGGUGAGUAACACGUGGGUGAUCUGCCCUGCACUUCGGGAUAAGCCUGGGAAACUGGGUCUAAUACCGGAUAGGACCACAUUUUGGAUGGUGUGGUGGAAAGUUUUUCGGUGUGGGAUGAGCUCGCGGCCUAUCAGCUUGUUGGUGGGGUAGUGGCCUACCAAGGCGUCGACGGGUAGCCGGCCUGAGAGGGUGUACGGCCACAUUGGGACUGAGAUACGGCCCAGACUCCUACGGGAGGCAGCAGUGGGGAAUAUUGCACAAUGGGCGCAAGCCUGAUGCAGCGACGCCGCGUGGGGGAUGACGGCCUUCGGGUUGUAAACUCCUUUCGCUAGGGACGAAGCGUUAUGUGACGGUACCUGGAGAAGAAGCACCGGCUAACUACGUG